Long non-coding RNA from Mus musculus (house mouse), 3161 nucleotides. RefSeq annotates it as predicted gene, 41183. The record is from RefSeq and is a predicted model, not a curated record. The transcript has 3 exons. Lineage: Eukaryota; Metazoa; Chordata; Mammalia; Rodentia; Muridae.
CUCUAACCUCACAGGUGUCCCAGGAAUGUAGGGUUUCCCAUUGCACGCCUCAAAAACACGCUCCUCCCUCUCUUUUACAGAAUCUACGUAGCACUAAUGUGUCUUCACAGCCCACUCGGCCAGCCUGGGCCAAUCAGAGGGAGCCACAGGAAUCGGAGACCUGUGUGUUAUUGAGAACAGCACCUGGCACAAAGGAUGGCCUCAGUCAUCAUCUCUGCUGCCUAAUGUUCUAGGCCUCAGUGUUGGACCACAGAGAGAAAUCCCCUAGGUAUCUCUCAGAUCCAAUUUAAACUGAGAAAAAUCAAAGUAAGCAGCCCUGCAUAGACCAAGAGUCCACACCACACACAUCGCGGUAUUGUCACCUGAACAGACACACCUGCGUAACUCCUUCACCAGUUCCCAUUGCAGAAGAGUGCUAACUGCUUUUCUGUUGCCAGGAUAAAACACCACAGCCAAAGCAUCUUCCAGACAAUUCAGUUUAUUGGGAAUUAUGGUCCCAGAGGAUACAUGUCCACGUUGAUGGGAGCAGCUGCAGCAGCAAGCUGAUGGCACACAUCUUGAAACACAGGCACAAAGCAGAGAGAGCAAACUUGAAAUUCUCCAAGUCUGCCCCCAGUGGCAUGUUUCUCCAGAUAAGACAACUCCUAAACCUUCCCCCAGACAGUGCCACUAACUGGGAACUAAGUCUUCAAACAUUCAAAGCUAUGAGGGCAGGGCACUUCUCAUUCAUGGCACGAAAGAGGUGAGGCCCUGAUCCCAGACAAGAGCCUUUCUCCCCCAGCCCAGUCUCCUGCCUGCCCCAAUCUUGGGGGAAAAUGGUAAUGAUCCACCACCUGGAGCUCAUCUGCUGCAGAAAGGGUCUGGACACAGCUACAGGGAUGACACAGGAACCUCAAGCCAGCAUCACACGGUGUGGUCCUACUGGAAGUGUGAACUACUUCAGGCUCGACAUCUGACAGAGCCAAGUGCGUACCUGGAGCUGUUUCCUUGGUUAGCCAGUAGCACCAUUCAGGGUAACGCAAGGAUAUCUCCUUGUGCAGGGUCCUCUGAACCAUUCUGGGAGGACUUUGGUGUGUGUAUGGAGCAUGGUGGGUGUGUUCACAGGAGUCUUCUGAGGAGAGCUGGGAGCCUCCAGGCUUGAGCCUGUUUCUUGCCUGUGGGCAUCAGCCUAAAUCUUAUGUAUUGAUAUGAGUUUUUAAAAGAAAAAUCCUAUUCUCCAGGCUAACAUUUUUCUUGAGCACAAUGCCUAGAUAAAUCUUAAUUGACAGCCCAUCAAUCUAACUUAGGGAGGCCACCUUAGCUGAAAGGAAUCGCUCCACAGCUGUUUAACCUGUGCUUGCAGGUCAGUUUUUUAACAGGACCCGAAGAGCUGGGUCUGUGUCUGCAUAAUGCAUUUUGCCCUAGGGCACCAGUGGAGAAAUUCUGUGUCAAUCUCAUUAGUGAUGUGGAGCAUCCCAAGCUGAGUCUCAAAGUGUGCUUCUUGGCUGGGUGGCAGGAGGUGUCCCACCCUCAACCAGCACCCACAGAUGAACUGGAGAGGAACUGGGAAGGCAUAGGGUUCCCCCAGCUCCCCUGGCCCUGCCCCUAUGUCCUUGUUCCAAUUGCCAGAACCUGACUGUUUCAUAAGUGGUAUGCCAAAUUUAGUUCUCGAUGUAGGUUGCUGCAGGGUGUCACUGCCGCAGCUCAGCCAGUCCUGUGAUUAACUUCCAGAACAGAUUCUGAGUGGUACCCCAUCCUAUACCUCCAGCAGGAGGGGCAUCAGGAGUAGGCUUGCAUAACCGACCUAAUUUUCCUAGCCACUUUAGCCUGUCAGCCUCAGACUGGAUAUCUCUUGCACGCACCUUGCUGGAACCCCAGGAAGACUCCGACACAAAGCCUGACUUCUCUGUCUCAGCUGCAAAGCAGCCUAAGUUCUUAACCCAGCAGACACCAUUGCACCAGCUAUCUCCAGCUGCAUGUCACUGGCAUCAUCUUCUGUCCCCCAGCAUAGUGGAAUUCUAUUGGCCUCACGUCUCUGACAUAGGUCAGCUGUGAGGUUCUGGGCAGCUUGAUUUCCUAAUGGCAGGCUGCAUCUUAUUCAGAGUUCAUUUUGCUGAAGAUGAACCAGAGGCUACUCCAAACCACUGGACACUAAAGCAAGAAAUUCAUUAAGUUCAGAGAAGUGUCACCAAACAGAACCUGGAAAUCUACCCCAUCCCUUCCUCUUCAAUCUCUUGCUUGUGUAAACCACACACUCCGACUUUGCAUUUAACCCCAUUCUGUAACCCCACUCUGCACUGUCUCCAGCUCAGCCUUUCAGCACACUUAUCCAUGUCUCUUGGUGACAGAGUCAUAGAGGAGGCUCUCUCUAUCCCAAUUUCAAUAUUUCCAGGCUAGAGAACCUGUCUGGGUCAGUUUAGGACAAGUAUAUGUUUUGGCCUCAGAACUUGUAACUCUGCGGGGAUGUGCUGGGGGUGGGAGUAAUGAAGAGCUACUGAAUUCCAUGAAUAUGUGCGCGUGUUCCAUCAAGGUUAGCAACUUAUGAUAAAACAGUACGGUGCUCAUUAACGAAAUGUCAUUGAACAGAAGGCCAUUGCUGGUGGCACAGCACUUAAAUUUAGCUGGACCAAACAAAGCAAGACAGGUGGAACAAGAGCAGUGUCUGCCUAAAUGGAGAGUUACUUCUGGAGAGUUCCCUGAGAAAUGCCAGAGCUGACUGAGUGGGGGGAGGGGGAAGUGAGCCCACCUUCCUCAGCCAGCAUUUCUAUGUGCUGUGUGCUUUCGUUUGAAGGGAACAUUCUAGAACUCAUGAGCUGGAGUCAGUUCUGAUGCAUUCCUUCGCUGGCUUGUUCAGGAUUUCAGAGAGACCAGGGGGGUUAGGGUAGGAGGCCAACUGGAACUCCUCCCUACCAGGUGCAUACAAUCCAGAGUCCAUGAACUGUAUGCAUCCCAAGGCAGCUAUGGAUGUGGUCCAAUACAUUCAUGUAUGACAACAUCACAUUGCAAUGUCAAAAGGUUGGAUGCCCCUGCUAGACUAAAUGUUUAUAGACAGUAAGGACCCAGAAGUCCAUGAAAGGAAAAUGCAGGAGAAACACACACAACCCCUCAUAGUGGUUGCUGAACAGCCUCUUCAACCUUCCUCCACCUUCCUGUGCAGAUAAGGGUCUGUCCUACUCUGUUCA